RNAcentral lists this ribosomal RNA (300 nucleotides) under uncultured archaeon. Its description in RNAcentral is "bacterial SSU rRNA". It matches the Rfam family "Bacterial small subunit ribosomal RNA", at positions 494 to 795 of the family's 1533-position model. The record is from RNAcentral.
CGGAAUGCCAGGCAAGAGGCCGGGGUAAUACUGAGGAGCCAAGCGUUAUCCUGAAUGAUUGGGUUGAAAGGGUCAGUAGGCGGCCGUAGAAGUCAGCGGGGAAAGGUUUUGGCUUAACCAAAAAAUUGGCAUUGAUACUGUAGUGCUUGAAUAUUUGUGAAGUAACUAGAAUAUGUAGUGUAGCGGUGAAAUGCUUAGAUAUUACAUGGAAUACCAAUUGCGAAGGCAGGUUACUAACAAAUGAUUGACGCUGAUGGACGAAAGCGUGGGUAGCGAACAGGAUUAGAUACCCCGGUAGUC